CGGGUCUACAGACCUGAUGGAGGGUGGUUGUUAUUACAGGUGAACUACAGGCAUUACAGGUGAGUUAGGGACUGUACACUGUACUGUAGGGACUCCACCUGUAGGGACUCCACCCGUCUGGACUCCAUUAAUAAAGAUUAUUGAAUAUGUACAACAGAAACAGAAGCGAUGAUGUCAGAGCAUCACGACUCGAAGAUGUUCUCUUCUGUUUACUGAUCGAUGGAUUGAGAUCAAUAACAGUUUGUCUCCUGCUGUCCGUCUGUUUUCUUUCUCUUAUUUUCCACUGAGGUCCAGAUGUUUAUGCUUUAGCAGUUAUUGUUUUUCAGAUUCUGUUUCAGUCUAAUCUGUGGCUGCCUGCUAACUUAGCUGCUAGCUGUUAGCAUAGCAUUAGCCACUGUGAAAAAGCUAAUGUCCUGAUUUGUGGAGAUGUUCGUGGCUCUCGCUCAGGUUGUUUUUCUGUCACUUAGAUUUAAAGUUAGUGUGAUUUUAGAACGAUGUUACGCUGCUCCAGAUAGUUAUCCACAUGCUAAGAGGCACAGCUAACCUCUCGGUGUUAGCAUUAGCGUAGCACGGUUAGCAGAAUCACUUCCAGCUGCUAAUUCACCGAGCUGCUGCAGUCUGAUAAUGUGCUCGUCUGUCUCGCUGUGUAAACAACAGCUGUCAGUAAAUGGCUGUUACUGCAACCAGUCAGCGAGCUGUGGUUGGGCCUUCACUGAGACCACAGUGACAUCAGACGGAGGAGAAUGACCAGAGCCGAAGCAGAUCAUUACGUUUAUUAAGAGAUAACCAUCAGAUAAAAUAAAAUAUUGGCAUCGAUAAUCGAUCACUGAGCUAAAGAAAAGUUUGAGUUCUGUUUCGAGGAACAAUCACAGCAUCGUUCACAAGUUUCUGAAUCAUUGUCAUCAACCGAUCAUCAAAGUGAAGCGACCUGUAACUGUCUUCAUAGAGUCCUCAGACUCUACCGACACAAACCGGAAGAUCGAAUCAGACCGAUGCAGUUUGAUUAACGUCUGAAAAUUAAAAGCUCUGAUAAAUGCUGUUCUGUCCCAGACAUGUUCAUCUGGACACGUUAGAAUUGAAAGAACCUCCAACUGUUCCUCUAAAAACCAUAAAACAUGAUUUAAAACCGAUGACAGUUUAAUGUUUGUAGUUUAAAGGUGCUGUUCGAACAAGCAGCUCUGAGUGUCUGUAUCAACCUCCAGGAGGACAUUUACGAGUCGGUUCUGGUCCUUCAGGUCGGUUCUGGUCCUCCAGGUCGUUUCUGCUCCAUCAGGUCGGUUCUACUCCGUCAGGUCGGUUCUCGGCGGUUCUGGGCCUGCAGUCGUUGCCGCCUCCUCUCCAUCGCCUGCUGCUUCUUCAGCUCGAUCUCAGCCGCCGAACAUUUAGC
Long non-coding RNA from Amphiprion ocellaris (clown anemonefish), 1387 nucleotides. Lineage: Eukaryota; Metazoa; Chordata; Actinopteri; Pomacentridae. The record is from Ensembl.